This 253-nucleotide ribosomal RNA is filed under the name uncultured bacterium. RNAcentral's name for it is "partial 16S ribosomal RNA". It matches the Rfam family "Bacterial small subunit ribosomal RNA", at positions 524 to 776 of the family's 1533-position model. The record is from RNAcentral.
UACGUAGGCAGCGAGCGUGGUUCGGAGUUACUGGGCGUAAAGAGUGCGUAGGCGGUUUUCUAAGGUUGGUGUGAAAUCUCCCGGCUUAACUGGGAGGGUGCGCCGAAGACUGGAAGGCUUGAGUAUGGGAGAGGUAAGCGGAAUUCCUGGUGUAGCGGUGAAAUGCGUAGAUAUCAGGAGGAACACCUGCGGUGUAGACGGCUUACUGGACCAUAACUGACGCUGAGGCACGAAAGCGUGGGUAGCAAACAGG